Molecule: ribosomal RNA, 544 nt
Filed under: Salmonella enterica
Lineage: Bacteria; Pseudomonadati; Pseudomonadota; Gammaproteobacteria; Enterobacterales; Enterobacteriaceae
Description: partial 23S ribosomal RNA
Rfam family: Bacterial large subunit ribosomal RNA
Source: RNAcentral
GAGGUUAAGCGACUAAGCGUACACGGUGGAUGCCCUGGCAGUCAGAGGCGAUGAAGGACGUGCUAAUCUGCGAUAAGCGCCGGUAAGGUGAUAUGAACCGUUAUAACCGGCGAUUUCCGAAUGGGGAAACCCAGUGUGACUCGUCACACUAUCAUUAACUGAAUCCAUAGGUUAAUGAGGCGAACCGGGGGAACUGAAACAUCUAAGUACCCCGAGGAAAAGAAAUCAACCGAGAUUCCCCCAGUAGCGGCGAGCGAACGGGGAGGAGCCCAGAGCCUGAAUCAGCAUGUGUGUUAGUGGAAGCGUCUGGAAAGGCGCGCGAUACAGGGUGACAGCCCCGUACACAAAAGCGCAUAUGCUGUGAGCUCGAUGAGUAGGGCGGGACACGUGGUAUCCUGUCUGAAUAUGGGGGGACCAUCCUCCAAGGCUAAAUACUCCUGACUGACCGAUAGUGAACCAGUACCGUGAGGGAAAGGCGAAAAGAACCCCGGCGAGGGGAGUGAAAAAGAACCUGAAACCGUGUACGUACAAGCAGUGGGAGCAC